ACAAAUAUAUGGAUAUUUUAAAACCUUUUUUUUUUCUUGUUAGAUAAAACAAAAGAGAAUUCUAGAAGCCUAAAGUGGGUGCAGAAUUCCCUGUUUUCCUCACAGCUGGAACAGGCUAAUUCCAAACAAAUGAAGAUUAAUGGACCAUCAGUAAUUACAUUUAUGUUCACACAUUUAAGUGAAAAAUGAAUUGUUGGUCAGAAAGCUAACAUCUUAAGUGUGCGACUUACAUGUGUCUCUCCUUUUUAGAUACUGAAUAAAUAUCGACUAAUUGUUGAAUUAGCCACCCUCAUAAAAAGGCUCUAGUUAAUUUA
This is a long non-coding RNA of Peromyscus californicus insignis, 314 nucleotides long. RefSeq lists it as uncharacterized. The transcript is spliced from 2 exons. The record is from RefSeq and is a predicted model, not a curated record. Lineage: Eukaryota; Metazoa; Chordata; Mammalia; Rodentia; Cricetidae.